Molecule: small nuclear RNA, 104 nt
Organism: Otolemur garnettii (small-eared galago)
Lineage: Eukaryota; Metazoa; Chordata; Mammalia; Primates; Galagidae
Source: Ensembl
GUGCUCAUUUCUGCAACACAUACACUAAAAUUGAAACGAUAGAGAGGUUAACAUGGCCCCUGCACGUUAAUGACAUGCAAGUUCAUGAGGCCUUUUAUAUUUUC